UGUGCUUCAUGCUGUAGCUCUUAACCUUUCAGGCACUGGUAGAUGCCUGUGAGAAAGUAAAGGACACAGUCCUUAGAAAAGGGCAUCGUAAAAAAAUGUGGACUGUGUUGGUCAAGGUUUUUAUAUUAAAGGCCCAUCAGCUAAAACCCAUCAUUUAAAGGACAGUAGACAAAGAUGGAACACAUGAGAAGUGAGGUCAGAAGAAUGUCACAGACAUCAAGAGAACAUGUCAUCAAAGAAGGGACAGUCACCACUGCUGAUGGCACAGAGUUCAGGGAUUAAGGACAUUUCUUUCCAACAUUUCCUUGUUAGAUUGAUGAUAAGUUGCUCAUCAGAAGUUUUUUUCCCGACCAAUGCCACAUCAGCCCAACAGAGAGUGGCAGAGUGGCUGCCCCAGAGGUAGGAGAAGCCAGUGUAAAGUUGGAAACAUUGAAUAAUAAAAGGAAGGGAAAACCAUAUGAAUUGAGCAUCCCUUAUCCAAAAUGCUUGGGUCCAGAAGUGUUUUGGAAUUUGGAUUUUUUUUGAGAUUUUGAAUAUUUGCCCAUACAUAUCAUGGAAGUGGGACCCAAGUUUAAAUGCAAAAUUCAUUUUUGUUUCAUAUGUCCUUCAAACACACAGCCUGAAGAUAAUUUCAUAGGAUAUUUUUGGUGUGCCUGUGUUUUUACUACAGCUCAUCACAUGAGAUCAGAUGUGAAUUUUCUGCAUGUAGCAUUAUGUCAGCACUCAAAAAGUUUUGGAUUUUGGAGCAUUUCAGAUUAGGGAUGUUCAACAUGUAAUAGGAGGGAUAUCAGAAUCAAAAGGAUGAUAUUUAGGCACUAGAUGAUCGAAUGUUUUUUACCUGUCCUUGGCACCAUUUCAGGAUGGAGCAAAAGAAUUCACCUGAGGGAUUGAAAUGUAGACAUGGAUGUUGAAAUGGAUGAUUAAAGGAGGAAAGUCCAUGAGUGGCAGGAAUUAAGGGGACAAGGGAAAUGCACCUUAGGAAGAAGAUGACAUCUUUGUUGCUUAUUGAACAUCUUCUUUGUGUCCAACUUCAUGAUGAAAGUUAUGAUUUGAGCCUGUAAAAAUGCCCAUUGUUAGUGAGAGGUGACAAAUGUAGAUGAUCUGUAAAGGACCACCUGGGGAGAAAGCCUGUGAGGCGCACAAAAGAACAGACACAGACUGAGAGUAUAAGGAGGUGGAGCAGAGAGGAGUGAAGUGAAGAAGCAAAGAAAGAGAAGUGUAGAAUGAAGUAUCGGCUCCUCCCUCCUGCCGAGUUUAUUAACUCAAAAAAGGUUACAUAUUACCCAUCACACCUGACUACACUCUAACCAGAGUGCUAGCUAACGGAGAUAAGGUCCAGCUUAAUACAAACACAGAGCCUCUCACAUCCAAGGACGUUACUAUGGAAACCAGGUAGUGCAUCCACAUAGUUAUCUUAACAGCCUCAGGGGGUUACUGCUGGGCAUUCUAAU
This 1451-nucleotide long non-coding RNA is filed under the name Marmota monax (woodchuck). Lineage: Eukaryota; Metazoa; Chordata; Mammalia; Rodentia; Sciuridae. The record is from RNAcentral.